Molecule: long non-coding RNA, 346 nt
Organism: Alosa sapidissima (American shad)
Lineage: Eukaryota; Metazoa; Chordata; Actinopteri; Clupeiformes; Clupeidae
Exons: 2
Source: RefSeq, a predicted model, not a curated record
UAUCUUGCUCCGCCUUAACAAUCUUUGAUUAGAACACUGGCACAGGUGUCACCUGUGAAUUCAACGGUCUCAGCUUCUAAUGCAUACAAUCUGGUGCUCCCUAAAACUACAGCGUAGCGUUCUCCUUGCCUCAUUUAUUCCUACCGAUUCUACAGGCACUGCUGCUGUCAAGCAUCCUCUUGAAGAAAGUUUACGUUCUUGUUGUCUGGUUCGUCCACACCCAAUGUGCCGCUUCACUCUGCUACUGAAGGAUCAGGCUGACUGCAACUGCUAUGGAUGGCAGGAAAACACAGUACACGUGAAUUUCUAGAUGAAGAGUGAAUAAAUGCACUUGCUUAACUGAUAA